This 253-nucleotide ribosomal RNA is filed under the name uncultured bacterium. Its description in RNAcentral is "partial 16S ribosomal RNA". It matches the Rfam family "Bacterial small subunit ribosomal RNA", at positions 524 to 776 of the family's 1533-position model. The record is from RNAcentral.
UACGUAGGCAGCGAGCGUUGUUCGGAAUUACUGGGCGUAAAGAGUGUGUAGGCGGUGUUCCAAGUCUGGUGUGAAAUCUCCCGGCUCAACUGGGAGGGUGCGCCGGAAACUGGAAUGCUAGAGGGUGGGAGAGGUAAGCGGAAUUCCUGGUGUAGCGGUGAAAUGCGUAGAUAUCAGGAGGAACACCGGUGGUGUAGACGGCUUUCUGGACCGUAACUGACGCUGAGACACGAAAGCGUGGGUAGCAAACAGG